Molecule: long non-coding RNA, 491 nt
Organism: Oncorhynchus kisutch (coho salmon)
Lineage: Eukaryota; Metazoa; Chordata; Actinopteri; Salmoniformes; Salmonidae
Exons: 3
Source: RefSeq, a predicted model, not a curated record
CUUCGACCGCCGAACGCCGCCCGAACAAGGAGAGGGACCAACUUCGGCGGAAGUCGUAACAGUAAUACAACCCAGUGCAGAAACAUCUAUGACAGUUUGUUUAGAACUAUGAUACAGAGGACAGGUCAUGGAAAAGGCUCUCAGCGACCAUGUCACCAGCCAUAGAGAAUGUGGUGAAUGUUUGUUCAUAUGGAGGUGCUGAUUUGGUCGUCUGUUAUGGGAUAAAAAGUGGGUCCUCCAGAGCUGCCUGUCUUCCACUGCAGACGCAAUAUCCUCCUCCAGUCCGAUACCCCUCCUGAGCUGGUCCACAUUUGUGAUCUCUGAUCCCCCCCUUAGGUUCACACAUUAGGUAAGGCAUAGACUUCACCAGGCAACUACUCAUCACAGAUGGAGGUGAUGAUAUCACUACUGUUGUUCUGCUUACCCAUAGUUUGGCCCAUGUAUAAGACUGAUUCCAUCCUAGAUCUGUACCUUUUUUAUUGAGAUGUUGA